GGCGACCCCCUGGACCAGCACUGGAUCCACGAGACCUCGGGUUCCGCUGGGCACCGGCAGCCCGAUCGCUGGAUCCACGGUGCGGGACCUGUUCCGUAGCGUGGAUCUCGUGCCCGUCUCCUAGGGAUGUGUGUACGCACCAGGCUCUCUGGAUGGCCCCACACGUCCUCCUCAGUCCUGUGCAGAAUCCUGUCUGACAUGAAAAGUUCCCAGUCGCCGAGGACUGGAAUGGGAAUGCUUGAGACUGCUAUGGCUGAAUCUGCCAGGAGAUCUGACUCAGGGAAAGCAGGCCAUCCUGUUAGCCUGUCACGUCUUCGAGGAGGCGGGUGGCUUUGAACUACUGAGGGGUUGCCUGGUUUGUAGUUUGGGAUGUGGCGGGAAGCGCCAAGACAACACUGCAGGAGAGAAGUGAGCAGGCGGUGGAGAGAUGGGAAAGGAAGAGAAGCCGAGCGAUUUGUGUGCUGUGGAGAGAGGCAGGCCUGGAGCUGCAAAGGCGGGAAACGGUGAAUUACUCCAUCCAUCAGCAGAGCCGGUAACAAACGCCAAGUGCCGGUGUGCCAAUGCCUUCUUUCUCUGAGAAAAUCCAACCCCUGUGGAGUCACUGUGGCUCCCACAGCUGUGUCCUGGCCCAGGACAGAGAGCAGGACCUGCAGAGUGGAGCCCACGGCCGACUGGCACGUCCCGCCAUGGUGCUUCCUUCCCAUCGUUGGCCUGUCU
Molecule: long non-coding RNA, 717 nt
Filed under: Rattus norvegicus (Norway rat)
Lineage: Eukaryota; Metazoa; Chordata; Mammalia; Rodentia; Muridae
Description: long non-coding RNA NONRATT022898
Source: RNAcentral